CACAGGGCCCCGGAAGCUCGUGUCCGGUCAGCUUUACGGAUUGGAGGCUGGAGAUCCGAGACCAGGGUGCCAGCAUGGUCGGGUUCUGGUGAGAGCCCUCUUCUGGUUGCAGACUGUAGACUUCUCAUUGCAUCCUCUCAUGUGGUAGAAGUAAAUAGGACCUCACAAUGCACCUCUUACCCAGAGAGGCACGAUGAUUGUCUAAGAACACAGGCAAGCUGGCGGAGGCUGUCGGAUGGCGACCUGUGCUCUGGGGCUUUCCUGGGCUUCACUACAGGGGGGAAGAGCGACAUCCAGUGACCCUGAGCUCAGGGACCAAGGUAUGUGGCUUGAAAUCCUAUCUGACAAAAACCAUUUAAACACGUACUGAGUUCAAGGGGAGAGAACAGAGGAAUGAAGGAUGCAAGAACCUAGGAAUCUCGCGGGCCCCACACCAUCCACUGGCCCCCAAGAAGGUGGCACCAGGAACACGGGGUCCACAGCAGGGAACAGCAGCAGGAGCUUGGGAAACCCUUUGAAAAGGGCAGGUAUUCAGCCUACAAGAAGCUGGAGAGCCAUACGACUCCACCUGAACAAGCACCUUUGGUUCAAGAACCAGUGGGCCUAAUGCUCUCCACAGCAGGAACAGCAACAACCACAGCAAUACCUGGGGCACCCAGGCCUCCUCUCACCCAAGACCCUUUCAGGGACCUUCUCCCACCCCCACGACAUCUAGGCACCAAUGAGGGGCGGACUCUGCAGACAGGAGAAGCUCUAGCACUAGGAUGUUACUGAAUUUGUAGGAGAGUCUGAUCCUGAAAUGUCCUGCAGAUUCCGUGGGGAACCCAGACAGGACCGAGGCCGCAGUCUGCAAGCUUCACUGAUGGCACUCUCUGAAGCUGUGGCUUGACUAUCUUCACUCUGUUUACUAUUCCAUAGCGUGAUCGGCACACUAUUUUUUUAAUCCAGUCCACUGUUCACGGUCAUUUGGCUGUUUUCACUUUGCAACCAUGCCAAAUUAUGCUGUGAAUGAUCCCAUCCUCGUCAUUGGGUUUGUGCCCGCAUUGUCGUUGAUUCCUAGC
Molecule: long non-coding RNA, 1061 nt
Filed under: Equus caballus (horse)
Lineage: Eukaryota; Metazoa; Chordata; Mammalia; Perissodactyla; Equidae
Description: lncRNA (ENSECAG00000048112.1)
Source: RNAcentral